AUGUAAACAAAGGCCGAGCGGUUGUUGCUGGUCCUCCGGGACAUGUGCACACCUUCGGUCGACAUCCUUCACACCCCUGUGCACCUCUGCGUGUGGCUCCCCCUCGCUUCGGCUUGUGGGGGCCCGCGUCUCUUAUAAACACCCUUGUAUGUCUUACGAAUGUCUACUAUGCGAUAAAAAGCAUCUAAUA
Molecule: unclassified non-coding RNA, 190 nt
Filed under: uncultured fungus
Lineage: Eukaryota; Fungi
Description: sequence contains ITS1, 5.8S rRNA gene
Source: RNAcentral